This 1306-nucleotide long non-coding RNA is filed under the name Erythranthe guttata (spotted monkey flower). RNAcentral's name for it is "long non-coding RNA (EGUT_LNC000284)". The record is from RNAcentral. Lineage: Eukaryota; Viridiplantae; Streptophyta; Magnoliopsida; Lamiales; Phrymaceae.
ACACAUUACUAUACAUUAAAAAACACAUAACAUACAUAUAAAUAUAUGUUACUACAUGUGACUAUAGUUAUAUACAAUUAUCUAUAGUUAUAUAAGUGGCAUAAGUCCGGAGUACUGUAGCAUGAAUCCAACUUCACAAAGGCACUUCAUCGAAUUUUAUUCUCUGCAUGUCAUAAAAUUAUAAUAAAAGCAAAACCUGCGACAAAAAAAUACGAGUUAAAUAGCAAAAUGGAACAUGCGAGUUAGGUUACAUGAAAAUUACAAAAAAAAUUUGAUUUUUUUUGUUGAUAAAUUUACUGAACUAAAAUCGACUACAAUUGACUAUAGUAUACUACAAGUCCUAUAUAUAGUCAUGUAUAGUAACAAGUAGUCAUGACUAUACAUGACUACAUGUGACUGACUAUAUGUGACUGUAUAUGACUAAAUAUAACUGUAUAUUCACCUUACUCAAAUCACCCAUGUAAGUAACCAUUACUGGUUAAAUUUCUAUUACAGACAAACAAAGCUCUCACAUAUUAGGUAUUUCAAAUCAUCUUCAAAUAAAUACAAAAACAAAUUACAUAUAUAUGAUUUAUAAUAAAAAAUCAAAUUACAUGAAAAAUACAAAAAAAAAAUAUGAUUUUUUUGUUGAUAAAUUUACUGAACUAAAAUCGACUACAAAUAACUAUAUUAUAAUACAAGUCCUAUAUAUAGUCAUGUAUACAUGUAGUCAUGACUAUACAUGACUACAUGUGACUAACUAUACAUGACGCUCAUGUAAGUAACCACUACUGGUUAAAUUUCCAUUACAGACAAACAAAACUCUCACACUUUAGGCAUUGCGAAUCAUCUUCAAAUAAAUUAUAAUAUGAUUUAUAAUAAAAAAUCAAAUUAAUCCAAAGAAAAAUAUUUUAAUAUUAAUUGUUCACAGAUCUUAAAAAAUAUAGUAUAUCAGUGUUUUUUUAUAUAUAAAUGCAGUAAAUAUAUACAAAUCGAACACCACCAAUUCCAGAUCUGACUACACAUCGUCGGAUCACAAUUUAAAAUUUUUGAAUUUAGUUGAUUUUCAUAAAAAAAAAAAAAGGUGAAAUAGUUAAGAGACAUCAGAUCUUAAAAAAUAAAUUAAAAAUGGAUGGAUAUUCAUAAAUUAAAAAAAUAACUUAAAAAAGUGAAGUGAAUGGGUUAGUACCGAGUUCAAGGCGGUGGGAGGAGCAACGACGGCCGGUACAAGGCCGUGGCGGAGCAGCGACGCAAGGCGGCGGCGGAGCAGCGACGGCGGCAGCGCAAGGAGGUGAGGGGAGCGACGGCGGCGGCGGCGCAAGGAGGU